This is a long non-coding RNA of Entelurus aequoreus (snake pipefish), 4367 nucleotides long. RefSeq lists it as uncharacterized. The transcript is spliced from 8 exons. The record is from RefSeq and is a predicted model, not a curated record. Lineage: Eukaryota; Metazoa; Chordata; Actinopteri; Syngnathiformes; Syngnathidae.
UAAUAUGAACUGUAUAUCUUUAGUGAGGUCUAAAAAUGUGAAGCGAUUAUUUUUUAUUACACUUUUAUGAAAGGGAUUGCUAUGGCAAAGUAUGACUUCAUUUUUUAGGAGCCUCAAGUAUUAGUUGUAGCCUAAAUUCUUCAUAGGUGUGAAUGUAAGUGUGCAUUGUUGUUUGUAUGUGUCCGGUCUCGGGUGUACCCAAACACUCACCCAAAUACAGCUGGGAUAAGCUCUAGCCCAUCCUUGACCCUGAACAGGAAAAUCUUGUAGAAUUAUUGUUUCCCAAUUGUUGUUUACAGUGCAAUUGUGAUAUUGGGUCAUGUCUGCUCAGCCAAGCCAGUAGCCUCAUUCACACUUCUGCUCUUUCUCCUCCCUCUCCUCAAACCGAGCAGUUACGUCUCUUCCCAGAGCCGGUCUGAGCAGUAGCGGUGGAGGCCGAGGUCAGCCAAGCCAUGACCCCGUGUCAAAGGCUUGUGGAAGACACCGACAGGUUGGGCGAGGACGGCGGUGGGAAGUUGAGGAGCUCCAGCACGGCCACGCCCACGCUGCUGCGGCGGGUGAACAUGCAGGAGGCCGCUACCCACUUGUUGCUGCGAGGGUUGUACUUCUCGAUGGAGUUGAGGCUGGAGCUGCCGUCGUUUCCUCCUACGGCAUACAACCAGCCGUCCAUAGCUACCAAGUCGAUUUGUGCCGGGCAAACCUGCGUAUGUUCAUGGCAGCCACGCCCUCCCAGGAGUUGCUCUUGGGGUUGAACCUUUCCACAGAGUUGAGGCAGCUGGUCCCGUCGUUCCCUCCCGCCACAUACAGCAUACCGUCCAGCACGGCGACCCCAGCGCUGCUGCGGCGACUCAGCAUGUUGGCGAUAGAUGUCCACGCGUUGCUCUGUACCAAUCCAUUGGGCGCAUUAACAUCCCUCGCAUACAGCAACGUUUCGCCUUGUGGCAAAAAGAAUAAAAUGUACCUGAGGAUCGUACUUCUCCACCGUUGCAAGAUGUGAGGAGCUAUCGUAGCCACCCACUGCGUACAGGUUGCCAUCUGGAGGGGAAAUGACGGCUUAAAAACUCCUCAAGAGCAACAUGUUGAUGCCACGUUCCUACCUAGAGUUGCAACACGAACAUAUCUCCUGCGGGUACUCAUGGCCGCAAUGGAUGUCCACGUGCUUGUCAGAGGGUCGAAACGCUCAGCACUGUAGAUAGAGAGAAGAAGAAUAUACUGUAUGACACGAAGCUCCAUCAUAACCCCCGGCAGCAUACAGCAGCCCAUGCAAGACCGCCACGCCUAAACAGCUCCGCCGCGUUCCCAUGGAAACCUCCGGUUGCCAGGAGUUAGUGAUGGGGUCAUACGACUCAACAGUUGCCAGGUCUGAGCAUAGAGUCUGUUCCCGAUGGCUGCCACACCCACCCGGGCCCGCCGAGUGGACAUGGAUGCCACCAUGUGCCAGCGGUCCGUCCUGGUAUCGUAUGCUUCACAGUCUCCAUGAAUGGCAAACAGACUGCCGCCACCUGGAGAUCCACACACGCACGCAUAACAACGUUCAAAUACUCAACAGUUUGUCCGUUUUUAAUUGGAUGUGUUGCUUUGAGUUCAUCUCUGACCGACAGCGAAGAGAACAGGGCUGGCGCCCUCGCAGCGCCGUGGCCGCGUCCGGCUGUUACUGAGCACGCCUCUCUGCUCGGGCAUCAGGUGAUACUUCAGCGCCUCGAUCAGCAGGUCCUUGCACUCGGAGUGAUGACGCACCAUCAGCUCCGUGUCCACGUUGCUAAUGAGGAAGUCUCGCCUCAGCAGCGGCAGCCGCACGCACUUCAUCAACUGGCGAGGACAGCAUCAUUUGGCUAUGUUCCAGGGAUGUGGACUUCACAUUUAACACCAAGGUCCAUGCAGCCUUUUGUCAAAUAAUAUGUACUGGUUUUUUCUGUCUACAGCAGGGGGCUCCAGCUUUCAUCAAGAGCUACUUUGACAAAAUUCAGGAAAUACGCAUUGGAACACCUGCACUCACCUGUUUCAGCGGCAGUAGCAUGAACUCCUCCGUCUUGGAGACCUCCACAAAGUGCUGCAGGACGUACUUGUGCGCCGAUUUGAGAAGAUCGCUGCAGGAGUGCGUGUCGGCAAAGCCUCGGAUGCCCAGGCAGUUGGAGGGGUCCAGCUGGCUGAGGAGGAACUUGCAGCAGGCGUCCCGCACCCCGUUGAGCUGCAGUAAGCUCGCCGCCGGAAGCAAUGUCUGAGGAAAGGUGCGGUUACAGGUGGAAGUGGGAAAACAGCCAGAAUGUUGAAAAAUCUACCUUACCUGAACAUUACCCUCCCCGACAACUAUCUCUGCCGUGUAGGCGUACUGGACCAGCUGCUCCAACGCCUGGGGGUCGAUAUCGUGUAGCGUCACGUGGGUCUGACGACUCUCUGACAUCUCAUCUACACAACAACACACAAUGACUGUUAGCAUCCAUUGUGUUCAUAUCUUUAAAACAUUUUCAGGAUCAUGUGGAGAAUAGAGUCUUUGGGGGCAAUUUGGAGGUUGAUGCCUUGCUCAAAGGCACAACAACAGCACUGCUCUUUGUAAACAGACCAACCAGUUCCAAUUGCCAGAUUGUUUUGGCCUCAGCGGGAUUAUUCUAGUAAUCUUUCGAUUAAUUUAAUCGAUAAAACAGACUUUAAAGGGGACCUAUUUUUCAGAACUAACCUUUAUAAAUAAAUGAUAAAUUAGUUAUACUUGUAUAGCGCUUUUCUACCUUCAAGGUACUCAAAGCGCUUUGACAGUAUUUCCACAUUCACCCAUUCACACACACAUUCACACACUGAUGGCGGGAGCUGCCAUGCAAGGCGCUAACCAGCAGCCAUCAGGAGCAAGGGUGAAGUGUCUUGCCCAAGGACACAACGGACGUGACUAGGAUGGUAGAAGGUGGGGAUUGAACCCCAUAACCAGCAACCCUCCGAUUGCUGGCCCGGCCACUCUACCAACUUCGCCACGCCGUCCCAACCUUUCCUACCUAUUGGUACUUGCUGUUGUGUAUUUGGGGUCUGCAUAAGUCCUGAACAUUUUAAAUCAAACCGGAAAUAUUGAUAAAACAAUCUUGCCUUUCUUCAUACUUCUUCAAAACAAGCUAUUUGGAAUUUGCCCUAUUUGUGACAUAUUUCCCAUUAGUGAUGUCAGCAGAUAUCUCCAUAUAUGGUAAAGUUUUACUCUAAGAGCUUUGCGCGAGUUCGUCCAUUAUAGUCCAGUUCCUUCUUUUUCUCUAUCCUCUUGUUGUGGGUCAGACUGGCUCGUACAUGCACAUGCAUCCUCUGCUGUUACCAUUUCUGUUACAAAGUAACGUAUAGUUCUAACUUAUAUCUGUCAGUAGACUCCAUAUGGGAGCGCCAAAACUACAACAUGGCUGACAGGGAGAAGAUGGUGUCGAAGUGGAGGCAUCUAAAUAAGACCGCUCACAAAACAGCGUAUCCUGAAGAGAUGGUCAUAUAGCAACUUGAAGAUGGUCUGUAAAGAACCACCAUUACAUGUUAUGUAGACCACAAGGAAGUGUUUUAAAUGUAGAAAAAAUCAUUAUUAGAUGACCCCUUUAAAAGGGAAACUGCACUAUUAAAAAAAAAAGUGCCUAUCGUUCACAAUCACUACGAAAGACAGGACGAACAAUGUAUUUUUUAAUGCAUUCUAACUUGUAAAUAAACGUAAAUAAUAGUCUGCUUACAGCUGAGCCAAUGGAAGGUCCUUUAUUCCGCCCGUAAAACCCUUUCCAAAAUUUUGUGACUUGAAUAUUAACCAAGUAUUAGUGAUAUUGCUAUGAUAAGCGCGAAUACAGACAAACUAUUUAAAGCGGCGCCAUGAUCACAAGCUUGUGUGCCAAUGUUGACAUAAUUGACUGAUCAGCUGCUUCCUUGCUCGUCAAACGUUAUUGCAGAUCAUAAACCAUGCCUCUAACCUGGAUAGUAGAAGGACGAGGGUGUAUUCCUACAAGUUGGUACACUUUGACAGCCAAUUUAGACCCGGGAAUGGUCAAGAACGACAUGAAAAGACGCUUGGUUCCACACUCCCUUUUCUUCGCAAGGAUUAUGAGUCAUUUUUCAUCUAAAUGGGAAUAUAACAAGAUUCUAUCAGUCGGCAUCCUAAUGACAACAGACCUUGUACAGUAAGUGAUGUUUUAUUAUGUUUGUUGGCUCUCAUUAAGUCUGCAGGGAGUAAUAAUCAGUGAUGUAGUUUAAAAAAAAAGCGAACGUGAUGCGUUUUUUAAAUUAAUGCGCUGAAUAUUAAUUGAAGCAAAAUAUGUAAAUAUUAAAUGUUAUUAUAAAUGUGCCUGUUACUACAUUACAUGUACACUUACAUCAUGUAUAUAAAAACUUAAUGGAGGUGUUUGGAUGUUUUUUUUAAGGGCUUUAUC